This 197-nucleotide ribosomal RNA is filed under the name uncultured bacterium. RNAcentral's name for it is "partial 16S ribosomal RNA". It matches the Rfam family "Bacterial small subunit ribosomal RNA", at positions 328 to 539 of the family's 1533-position model. The record is from RNAcentral.
ACGCUCGACACCUACGGGGGCAGCAGUGGGGAAUAUUGCACAAUGGGGGAAACCCUGAUGCAGCGACGCCGCGUGAAGGAAGAAGUAUCUCGGUAUGUAAACUUCUAUCAGCAGGGAAGAAAAUGACGGUACCUGACUAAGAAGCCCCGGCUAACUACGUGCCAACAGCCGCGGUAAUCUGAGCGGGCUGGCAAGGC